RNAcentral lists this long non-coding RNA (4010 nucleotides) under Anthonomus grandis grandis. RNAcentral's name for it is "uncharacterized LOC126741957". Lineage: Eukaryota; Metazoa; Arthropoda; Insecta; Coleoptera; Curculionidae. The record is from RNAcentral.
UUGGGUAGUUCGUGUUUUGGAGUCGAGAUAUUUGUUUGUGUUUUGAAGUGAAGUUUUUGUCAGUGUAUGUGCUUACACCUACCAAAAACAAAAUUAUACAAAUUAUAAUAAACAAUUAAAACGCUGCGUCCUAGUUUGGCUGUAGUUUGUUUACCUUGAACAUUUCCAUAAUGGCUUUUGAGUGCCAUAUAUGUAAAAAGUCUUUUGGAAAGAAAUCCAAUUUUAAUAGACACCUUGCAGAAGUUCAUAAACUAAAUAAACCUUCUAGUAGUGAUAGUAAUACAAAACUGGGAAACAAUCGCAAUUGGAACAAGGAGAUGAUGACAAUCUUUGUGGCAUUAUUUUUUCAAACAUAAAAUCUGUAAUUGAGCAUUUACAGAUCACUCAUAAUAAGAGCUUUAAUAUUGAGUUGAAUCAGAUGGAACACAUGCAAGAAUUUACACAAUGGAAAAUCAAUAUAGAGGCUCAAAAUAAAUGUUGUUACAUUCUGAAAUCAAAGAAAUCUAGUACAAGUGGUGAUAUACUACAUUAUAUAUGCAAUAGUGCAAAGCAAGUUAUACACCACUUUUCAAUGAGUGCAGAAAAAGACUGCAAAAAAGUCAAGGGUCAUGUAAAUUAGAGCACAACUGCACCAGUUUUAUUAAUGUUAAAAAUGAAAGUGGUGCGUUACUGGUUGAAUGGCAAAAAGAACAUUACGGCCACACAAACGAUUUGGAGCAUAUAAGAAUUCCUUCACAUGAAAAGGAAAGUAUUGCCUCCAAACUCAUAAGUGAAGUUCCUUCUCGAAGGAUUUUGGAAACAAACCGAGAUAGAAUUGGAACUGACUUAAAAAGAAUUGAUCUUUUAACGCAUCAAGAUAUCAAAAACAUUCCAGCAGCUUUGAAGUUGCUGGAAAAGAUGGAAAGCGAAGUAAAGAUCUCAGUUGAGUUGUGGGUCAGAGAAUGUGAAGCCUGGGAUGUAAAUCCCAUUUUAUUUUAUAAGCGACAAGGGCAAGAGCAUGCCAUUCUAAAGAAAGAUUUUUGUCUUGUGAUUAUGAACAACUUUCAAAGGAAUAUGAUCAAAAAAUUAUUACUAUUGACAGCAUGGGUGGCUAUAGUGCAUAGCUAAUAGAUGAAUUUCACCAUGGUUUUCCCAUUGCUGAAAUGUUUUCAAACAGAAAGGAUACCACCAUUCAACAUCUCUAUUUUUCUCUUAUAAAGGAAACAGUAGGUGAAGUUUGUUCUGAAAUAUUCAUGUCAGAUAUGGACGGAACAUUUUUUAAUGCAUGGAUUAUGGUGAUGGGAGUAAAACCUGACCACUUGUUUUGCUCUUGGCAUGUAGACAGGGAGUGGCAAAGUAAUCUUACUAAGAUUGGUGAUAAGGAAAAGCGUGCUUCUGUUUAUAAACUGUUAAAAACUUUAUAACAACACACAGUACUAGAUCAUUUUUCCUCACCUUUAGCAAGUGCCAUGCAAAAUUUAUGCAGUGAUCCAAGCACUAAAAAAUUUGAGAACAUUCUUCCAUUAAUACGAAUAUGCAUUUAGAAUCAAUGCAUAAAGUCAUUAAAUAUUUUUACUUAGAGAGAAAAACAGUGAAGCGUUUGGAUAAAGGGUUAAAUGUUGUCUUACAAUAUGUGAGGGAUAAGAGCAUUGAAAGGAUAAUAAGAUUGACUAAGGGAGAACAUACAAAAACUACAUCUAUAUUAUCUCGAAAUCAUUGGGAUUCAAUUAAAGAAAUGUCUCAAUAUUCCUUAUUAAAUUGUGCUAAUUAUUGGAAAAUUAAAAAAAAAUUAAUACAUCCUCAUAUUAUGAGGUUAAUCAAAAACUUGAUAAAAACUGCCAACAAAUAUGUGUAAUUUGUAAAAUAUGUAACCAUUUGUAUUCAUGUACUUGUAAUUUUUUUGUAAAAAAACAGACUAUGUGUAAACAUAUUCAUAUUAUUAUUUCUAGCAUAAAUGCAAUGGAUAUUGAGGUAAAUGAGUAUGUCAAUUCAAAAUCGUCUAAUUCACCUGAAGAUAAGACUAAUCUUAUAUUAAGUCAUUUGAAGGAAAUUUCUUUUUCUUCCCUAAAAAUAACAGACAAGCAAACAAAUGAAAAAAUAAUUAAAAUAAAAGCUUCAACUGCUGAUUUAGGAAAUUCCACUUUUGAGGGACUUAAUGACUCGGUAAUAGAUCAAAUUCACCACUGUCUAAUUGUAGCUAAGAACUUAAAUAGAUGCCACGAGGAACCCUUAUUAAACGAACAAUUUCAAGUAAAAAAUAAGCAGUUAAAAAGAGUUAUCGAACCCCAAUUAAGAUUUAGUUCCACCAAAAAGAAAAGGGUUGAAACAGCUACCAGCUUUAAAAGACCAACGACUCAAGAGGUUUUAGAUAUAAAAGAAAACCUAAAAUUUAAUAAUCCUUUUGAUCAUUUUAUUGCUAAAUCUGUAUCACCUUCACAUUUAUGUAUUUAUUUAUUCAAUCAAUAUACGGGAAACCCCAUUUUACAAAAGAUUUGGUUACAAUAUUAAAUAAAGUAAAAAAUGUAUAAUUAACAGAAUAAAAGUACUUUCACGAACAUAACUAGACAGUCUUCAAAACAUAUACACAAGAAAUAAACACAAUAAGAAAACAAUAAAUUAAGAUAUUUGACCCAGUUGACCAAUAAAUCCAGAGAGUGAGCUUGCAAAUGGAUCAAGUUCAGGGUGAGAGUUUAAAUAGGCAAGAUUACGACAGAUUGGAGAAUGUAAUAAAUAGUUGGAGUGACAGAUUGGUAAAGCAAACAGUUCAUGUCUCCUUAGGGUGCGUGCAGGGACCUUUAAAUUAAAGCUGUUGAUGAGAGCAGGGCAAUCAAUAAGCCCAUGAAUAACCUUAUACAUAAAGCUGAGGUAACUUUGAAUCCUUCUAGAUUCCAACGAUUGAAGUCCCAAUAUUGCCUCCAUGUCAAGUAGGUUAUCCUGCAUAUUCAACUUGUAGGAACAGUACCGGGUAAACCUCUUUUGGACUCUUUCAAGUUGCAUUUUGUGACAAUUAUAAAAAGGAGACCAAAUGAUCGAGGCAUACUCUAAAUGAAUUCUAACUAAUGAACAAUAAAGUAUCUUCAAAGUAGAUAUAGACAUGUCACGACAAGUUCGUAAAACAAAACCUAACAUCUGAGAGGCCUUCCCCUCCACAAAAUCACAGUGUUCCCCAAAUUUGAGCUGGGUAUCAAAGACUACUCCUAAAUCCUUCAUUGAGUCAACAGAACUAAGUACUAUGUCAUCAAUAGUGUAUAUAUUAUUCAUUUAAUUUUUAAGUCUAGAGAAUCCAAUUGAGUAGCACUUAUUUAUAUUUAAAGAGAGAUCAUUCAUAUUAGCCCACUUUACAAAAGAAGUAAGAUUGUGUUGUAAGAUAUCAGAGUCCCGCUGUGACUUAAUAACACGGAAAAGUUUCAAAUCGUCUGCAUAUGCUAAGUAAUCACAGUCAGUUAAACACGUUACAAGGUCAGUCAGAAUACAUCAAAAAGCAAUGGGGAACAGUGUCCCCCUUGAGGAACUCCAGAAGUCACCAAGAUACUUCCAGAUUCAGAAUCUCCAAUCCUAACACGCUGCUCACGACCCAGCAGCAUGCUUCUAAACCACCUUAGGGAUCUUUCACUAAAGCCAAGGGAACUAAGUUUUGCUAGUAAUAACUCAUGAUUGACCCUGUCGAAUGAUCACGAGUAUUUUUAAUUUUGUUAUGAAAUAAUUUCAGCCUAACAAUUAGACUUAUAUACUAUAUACAGGGUAAACUUGUGUAUCUGGGAUCUUGUUUGGAAAUAGUUUGCUGUGCGAUUUAGUAAUAUAUUGGUAGUAAAUGAUGUAGGUUUAGUUUUGUGAUGUUAUCAUUAGUUAGUUAGAUACAAUAAAACAUUUUAAUGUUAAAAAAAUUCCUACCAAAUGCUAAAUGUUUAAACCUUUUUUAUUUUAUUUAAAGAGUGUUCUACAAUAGAAUUAAUAUUCCAUUUUAUUUAUUAUAUUACAUUUUUUUAUAAAACAUACAAACAUGUGUAUCUGUAAAUAAAAGAUAAAUAAUU